This 37-nucleotide non-coding RNA is filed under the name Mycobacterium tuberculosis. Lineage: Bacteria; Bacillati; Actinomycetota; Actinomycetes; Mycobacteriales; Mycobacteriaceae. The record is from RNAcentral.
UGGACGCAGAAUCGCACCGGGUGCGGGAGGUGCAGCA